AUCCCUUCAUUAUCAUAUUCUUCUUCUUAUUCUUCAAUUCUUCGCAUGUUAUCACUUCUGUUUGCAACCCUUCAUUAUCAUAUUCUUCUUCUUCUUCUUCUUCUUCCUUUCUUCGCAUUUUAUCACUUCUAUUUGCAACCCUUCAUUUCCUCUACAUUUCCUCUACGUUUUCUCUCAUGGAUUCCAAGAAAUAACUCUCACGCUCUCCAUCUUAC
Molecule: long non-coding RNA, 215 nt
Filed under: Lathyrus oleraceus (garden pea)
Lineage: Eukaryota; Viridiplantae; Streptophyta; Magnoliopsida; Fabales; Fabaceae
Description: Pisum sativum (pea) long non-coding RNA (PSAT_LNC005197)
Source: RNAcentral